Myotis lucifugus (little brown bat) is the source of this 102-nucleotide small nuclear RNA. The record is from Ensembl. Lineage: Eukaryota; Metazoa; Chordata; Mammalia; Chiroptera; Vespertilionidae.
GUGCUCUCAUCAGCAGCACAUGUACCAAAACUGGAUGAUCCAGAGACUAGCAUGGCCCAGUGCAGGGAUGACAUGCAAAUUCCUGAAGCAGGAACAUGUCUC